Molecule: ribosomal RNA, 289 nt
Filed under: uncultured bacterium
Lineage: Bacteria
Description: partial 16S ribosomal RNA
Rfam family: Bacterial small subunit ribosomal RNA
Source: RNAcentral
AUUGAACGCUGGCGGCAUGCCUUACACAUGCAAGUCGAACGGCAGCACGGGAGCAAUCCUGGUGGCGAGUGGCGAACGGGUGAGUAAUAUAUCGGAACGUGCCCGGUCGUGGGGAUAACGUAGCGAAAGCUACGCUAAUACCGCAUACGAUCUAUGGAUGAAAGCGGGGGAUCGCAAGACCUCGCGCGAUUGGAGCGGCCGAUAUCAGAUUAGGUAGUUGGUGAGGUAAAGGCUCACCAAGCCGACGAUCUGUAGCUGGUCUGAGAGGACGACCAGCCACACUGGGACC